GGGCCAGUAGUUCAGGGGUAGAACGUCGGUCUCCAAAACCGAAUGUCGUGGGUUCAAAUCCUGCCUGGCCCGCCA
RNAcentral lists this transfer RNA (75 nucleotides) under Bacillota bacterium. RNAcentral's name for it is "tRNA-Trp". It matches the Rfam family "tRNA". From Rfam's summary of the family: Transfer RNA (tRNA) molecules are approximately 80 nucleotides in length. Their secondary structure includes four short double-helical elements and three loops (D, anti-codon, and T loops). Lineage: Bacteria; Bacillati; Bacillota. The record is from RNAcentral.